RNAcentral lists this ribosomal RNA (402 nucleotides) under uncultured bacterium. RNAcentral describes it as "bacterial SSU rRNA". It matches the Rfam family "Bacterial small subunit ribosomal RNA", at positions 355 to 774 of the family's 1533-position model. The record is from RNAcentral.
UGGGGAAUCUUGCGCAAUGGGCGAAAGCCUGACGCAGCCAUGCCGCGUGAAUGAUGAAGGUCUUAGGAUUGUAAAAUUCUUUCACCGGGGACGAUAAUGACGGUACCCGGAGAAGAAGCCCCGGCUAACUUCGUGCCAGCAGCCGCGGUAAUACGAAGGGGGCUAGCGUUGCUCGGAAUUACUGGGCGUAAAGGAAGCGUAGGCGGACAUUUAAGUCAGGGGUGAAAUCCCAGAGCUCAACUCUGGAACUGCCUUUGAUACUGGGUGUCUUGAGUGUGAGAGAGGUAUGUGGAACUCCGAGUGUAGAGGUGAAAUUCGUAGAUAUUCGGAAGAACACCAGUGGCGAAGGCGACAUACUGGCUCAUUACUGACGCUGAGGCUCGAAAGCGUGGGGAGCAAACA